UAACUCUGGUUUCCCUUCAAAACGCAUAAAUCUUUCGCCUUUUACUAAAGAUUUCCGUGGAGGGGAACACUCAAAUGAGUCUUUGAAAUUUUUGAUGCCCUACUUCCUACAGUAGGGC
Small nuclear RNA from Bicyclus anynana (squinting bush brown), 118 nucleotides. RefSeq annotates it as U5 spliceosomal RNA. The transcript has a single exon. Lineage: Eukaryota; Metazoa; Arthropoda; Insecta; Lepidoptera; Nymphalidae. The record is from RefSeq and is a predicted model, not a curated record.